GACGAACGCUGGCGGCGUGCCUAAUACAUGCAAGUUGAGCGCUGAAGGUUGGUACUUGUACCGACUGGAUGAGCAGCGAACGGGUGAGUAACGCGUGGGGAAUCUGCCUUUGAGCGGGGGACAACAUUUGGAAACGAAUGCUAAUACCGUAUAAAAACUUUAAACACAAGUUUUAAGUUUGAAAGAUGCAAUUGCAUCACUCAAAGAUGAUCCCGCGUUGUAUUAGCUAGUUGGUGAGGUAAAGGCUCACCAAGGCGAUGAUACGUAGCCGACCUGAGAGGGUGAUCGGCCACAUUGGGACUGAGACACGGCCCAAACUCCUACGGGAGGCAGCAGUAGGGAAUCUUCGGCAAUGGACGAAAGUCUGACCGAGCAACGCCGCGUGAGUGAAGAAGGUUUUCGGAUCGUAAAACUCUGUUGGUAGAGAAGAACGUUGGUGAGAGUGGAAAGCUCAUCAAGUGACGGUAACUACCCAGAAAGGGACGGCUAACUACGUG
Molecule: ribosomal RNA, 497 nt
Filed under: uncultured bacterium
Lineage: Bacteria
Description: partial 16S ribosomal RNA
Rfam family: Bacterial small subunit ribosomal RNA
Source: RNAcentral